GUAUUAGUUGUGUUCUUGAAACUUAAAGAAUUUGGCGGUAUCCUACUCCGUUCAGAGGAAUCUGUCUCGUUAUCGAUAGUCCGCGUUGGACCUUACUUAGGGUUAGUUUUGGUUUGUAUACCGCCGUUUAUUGAUUAUCUUUUUAGAGUAUCAUGAAUUUUCUGGUUUCUUUAAUUUGAUUUAUUGCAGGUCAAGGUGCAGCUUUUUCUAAGUGUAAUGAUGGAUUACAGUGUUAUGUGUUGUUUGGAUUGUUUAUUUUAAUAUUGGCAUGAAAUUGGAUUUGGUUGUAAUGUUUUGUAGAUUGUUUUCAUGAUAGUUGGUUCUAGGAUAUGUACACAUCGCCCGUCGCUCUCAUUUAAGUUUUUGAUGAGAUAAGUCGUAACAUAGUAA
This 390-nucleotide ribosomal RNA is filed under the name Odontotermes bhagwatii. Its description in RNAcentral is "partial small subunit ribosomal RNA". The record is from RNAcentral. Lineage: Eukaryota; Metazoa; Arthropoda; Insecta; Blattodea; Termitidae.